This is a long non-coding RNA of Odontomachus brunneus, 396 nucleotides long. RefSeq lists it as uncharacterized. The transcript is spliced from 3 exons. NCBI's taxonomy places the organism in Eukaryota, Metazoa, Arthropoda, Insecta, Hymenoptera, Formicidae. The record is from RefSeq and is a predicted model, not a curated record.
GUUAAAACGAUGUAUGACGUUUACAUCAUAACCUCACAUUGUAACCUCAAAAGCAGAUAUGAUGUAUCAGUCACUGUGAUAUUAACUAAUAAAAGUGAAUAAAUUAAUAGUUGAUUGAUUUUGCGAUUGAAAGCUAUGCGAUUGACAGGCUGGAGAUACGGCGUGUUUGUCGGAGGUUUCUUAAGUCUCAUAGAAAAAAUUAGAGAACAUGCUCUCUCAAGUAAAUCUACAUAAAUUAUUUCAAAUUGGAGAACUGAUUGUGAAAUGGUGUAUCAGUCGCAAGUUACAUGUCUUCAUCAUUAAAAAUGUUCUGCAGUGAAGAAUAGGUAUGAUAAGAAAAAAAUUACACUGACUGUUGUAUAAAAUAAAUGUCUAUUAAUGUUCCUUGCAAUUAAA